GAUGAGAACGCAGCGAAAUGCGAUAAGUAAUGUGAAUUGCAGAAUUCAGUGAAUCAUCGAAUCUUUGAACGCACAUUGCGCCCGCCAGUAUUCUGGCGGGCAUGCCUGUUCGAGCGUCAUUACAACCCUCAGGCCCCCGGGCCUGGCGUUGGGGAUCGGCGGAGCGCCCCCUGCGGGCACACGCCGUCCCCCAAAUACAGUGGCGGUCCCGCCGCAGCUUCCAUUGCGUAGUAGCUAACACCUCGCAACUGGAGAGCGGCGCGGCCACGCCGUAAAACACCCAACUUCUGAAUGUUGACCUCGAAUCAGGUAGGAAUACCCGCUGAACUUAAGCAUAUCAAUAAGCGGAGGA
This 352-nucleotide unclassified non-coding RNA is filed under the name soil metagenome. Its description in RNAcentral is "partial contains 5.8S ribosomal RNA, internal transcribed spacer 2, and large subunit ribosomal RNA". The stretch from base 5 to 119 matches the Rfam family "5.8S ribosomal RNA", at positions 40 to 154 of the family's 154-position model. The record is from RNAcentral.